RNAcentral lists this transfer RNA (71 nucleotides) under Ictidomys tridecemlineatus (thirteen-lined ground squirrel). RNAcentral describes it as "Spermophilus tridecemlineatus (thirteen-lined ground squirrel) tRNA". It matches the Rfam family "tRNA". Rfam says of the family: Transfer RNA (tRNA) molecules are approximately 80 nucleotides in length. Their secondary structure includes four short double-helical elements and three loops (D, anti-codon, and T loops). Lineage: Eukaryota; Metazoa; Chordata; Mammalia; Rodentia; Sciuridae. The record is from Rfam by way of RNAcentral.
GGGGUUGUAGCUCAGUGGUAGAGCAUUUGCCUCGCAAGCAUGAGGCACUCGGUUUGAUCCUCAGCACCCCA